AGCGGUGGAGCAUGUGGUUUAAUUCGAAGCUACGCGAAGAACCUUACCAGGUCUUGACAUACUAUGCAAAUCUAAGAGAUUAGACGUUCCCUUCGGGGACAUGGAUACAGGUGGUGCAUGGUUGUCGUCAGCUCGUGUCGUGAGAUGUUGGGUUAAGUCCCGCAACGAGCGCAACCCUUAUUAUCAGUUGCCAGCAUUAAGUUGGGCACUCUGGUGAGACUGCCGGUGACAAACCGGAGGAAGGUGGGGAUGACGUCAAAUCAUCAUGCCCCUUAUGACCUGGGCUACACACGUGCUACAAUGGAUGGUACAACGAGUUGCGAACUCGCGAGAGUAAGCUAAUCUCUUAAAGCCAUUCUCAGUUCGGAUUGUAGGCUGCAACUCGCCUACAUGAAGUCGGAAUCGCUAGUAAUCGCGGAUCAGCAUUCCGCGGUGAAUACGUUCCCGGGCCUUGUACACACCGCCCGUCGCACCAUGAGAGUUUGUAACACCCAAAGUCGGUGGGGUA
This 508-nucleotide ribosomal RNA is filed under the name Lactiplantibacillus paraplantarum. Its description in RNAcentral is "bacterial SSU rRNA". It matches the Rfam family "Bacterial small subunit ribosomal RNA", at positions 928 to 1437 of the family's 1533-position model. The record is from RNAcentral. Lineage: Bacteria; Bacillati; Bacillota; Bacilli; Lactobacillales; Lactobacillaceae.